This is a long non-coding RNA of Hemicordylus capensis (graceful crag lizard), 309 nucleotides long. RefSeq lists it as uncharacterized. The transcript is spliced from 4 exons. The record is from RefSeq and is a predicted model, not a curated record. Lineage: Eukaryota; Metazoa; Chordata; Lepidosauria; Squamata; Cordylidae.
CGAUGCUGAUGAAGAGCCCCAGACGAAUCCCAGGACUGGAGCAGUUGCUGCACGUGUUGAAGGAUUUGUCCCAGGCUUCCUUGAUCUCCUUUCAAAUGCAGCCAACUCAGCUGCUGGAGUAAUCAAUGGCAUCGUUGAUGCUGUAGCUGGAAAAGCUAGAGCGGAUCAUGGCUCUACAAAUACAACUUCAAGUCGCAGGAACUGAAUUGUUAUCGAUACAAGCAACGAUAAUACAAAACCUCCCCUCUGAACACUUCAAAUAGUCAUAUUGUAAAGGGCGGUGAAAGAUGAAGGUCUUGGCAUUCAGAG